Molecule: ribosomal RNA, 166 nt
Filed under: uncultured bacterium
Lineage: Bacteria
Description: partial 16S ribosomal RNA
Rfam family: Bacterial small subunit ribosomal RNA
Source: RNAcentral
CGGGAGGCAGCAGUAGGGAAUUUUGCGCAAUGGGGGGAACCCUGACGCAGCGACGCCGCGUGAGCGAAGAAGGCCUUCGGGUCUUAAAGCUCUGUCCUAUGGGACGAGAGAGGACGGUACCAUAGGAGGAAGCCCCGACUAACUACGUGCCAGCAGCCGCGGUAAU